GAUGAAGAACGUAGCGAAAUGCGAUAAGUAAUGCGAAUUGCAGAAUUCAGUGAAUCAUCGAAUCUUUGAACGCACAUUGCGCCCGCCAGUAUUCUGGCGGGCAUGCCUGUCUGAGCGUCGUUUCGACCCUCGCGCCCGGCUUCUGUCGGGGGCGGUGUUGGGGUUCGGCCACACCCUUCAGUGGGAGGCCGGCCCCUAAAUUCAGUGGCGACCACGCUGUAGCCUCCCCUGCGUAGUACUAAAACCACCUCGCAGGCGGAGAGCGGUGCGGCCCGCCGUAAAACCCCCCAACUUUUACAAGGUCGACCUCAGAUCAGGUAGGAAUACCCGCUGAACUUAAGCAUAUCAAUAAGCGGAGGA
Molecule: unclassified non-coding RNA, 360 nt
Filed under: soil metagenome
Description: partial contains 5.8S ribosomal RNA, internal transcribed spacer 2, and large subunit ribosomal RNA
Rfam family: 5.8S ribosomal RNA (bases 1-120)
Source: RNAcentral